Molecule: ribosomal RNA, 216 nt
Filed under: Listeria monocytogenes
Lineage: Bacteria; Bacillati; Bacillota; Bacilli; Caryophanales; Listeriaceae
Description: partial 23S ribosomal RNA
Rfam family: Bacterial large subunit ribosomal RNA
Source: RNAcentral
UCCCUCAGAAUGGGAGGAAAGCAUUCGCAGAGUGUAAAGGCACAAGGGAGCUUGACUGCGAGACUGACAAGUCGAGCAGGGACGAAAGGCGGGCUUAGUGAUCCGGUGGUUCCGCAUGGAAGGGCCAUCGCUCAACGGAUAAAAGCUACCCCGGGGAUAACAGGCUUAUCUCCCCCAAGAGUCCACAUCGACGGGGAGGUUUGGCACCUCGAUGUC